Molecule: ribosomal RNA, 303 nt
Filed under: Triticum aestivum (bread wheat)
Lineage: Eukaryota; Viridiplantae; Streptophyta; Magnoliopsida; Poales; Poaceae
Description: partial small subunit ribosomal RNA
Source: RNAcentral
AUGUGGAUGCAAUCAAUUACCGACAAUAUCACGAGUGGAGGAUCCGAGAAGGGCUUCGGCAAAUGUCGAUGGAUCAGAAUCUUCCACAUGAUCUUUAUUUGUUUCCCGAGGCUUAUCCCAUCCUUGCCCUGUGAAGCAGAAAUGGACAUUCAACCUUAUAAGAAAAUUGCUGUUAGAGCAGGGACGUAUAUAUAUAACCACAAGAUAGAUAUUGCUGUAACAAGUACUCAGAAAUUCUGCCUAUGUAUUUCUUCUGAAAAAGCUGCUGUGUCAUUCUACAAUCUAUCUGUUCGCGUAGUGUAG